CUGAUUUAACAUCUAUCAUGAUCCUGAGUUCUCUGGUUGCCUCUAUGAUAAGAGGACGGGGAUUAAUGAUGGACAAAUUAGACCUGCUUUAAGGAUUCUCCCCCGAUCAAGAGCCCUAGGGUUGUAUUUUUGUAUUGGGGAGACUGGAGACAAAUACACACUACGCUGACUGAGCAUUGUUUUAUGGUGGUGAGCUCCAUGAUGGCCACUGUAUGUAAGAAGCCCAGAGACCGAUGUGAGUAAUAGUCAAGUUCUUGUCUUGGCUUCAG
Molecule: long non-coding RNA, 269 nt
Filed under: Ursus americanus (American black bear)
Lineage: Eukaryota; Metazoa; Chordata; Mammalia; Carnivora; Ursidae
Description: lncRNA (ENSUAMG00000020982.1)
Source: RNAcentral